RNAcentral lists this ribosomal RNA (449 nucleotides) under uncultured bacterium. Its description in RNAcentral is "bacterial SSU rRNA". It matches the Rfam family "Bacterial small subunit ribosomal RNA", at positions 354 to 796 of the family's 1533-position model. The record is from RNAcentral.
GUGGGGAAUCUUGCGCAAUGGGCGAAAGCCUGACGCAGCGACGCCGCGUGGGGGAAGAAGGCCUUCGGGUUGUAAACCUCUUUCAGGUGGGACGAAGCCACUCGGGUGAAUAGCCCAGAGGGUGACGGUACCUCCAGAAGAAGCCCCGGCUAACUACGUGCCAGCAGCCGCGGUAAUACGUAGGGGGCAAGCGUUGUCCGGAUUUAUUGGGCGUAAAGAGCGUGUAGGCGGCCUGGUAGGUCGGUUGUGAAAACUGGAGGCUUAACCUUCAGACGUCGACCGAAACCCCCAGGCUAGAGUCCGGAAGAGGAGAGUGGAAUUCCUGGUGUAGCGGUGAAAUGCGCAGAUAUCAGGAAGAACACCCGUGGCGAAGGCGGCUCUCUGGGACGGUACUGACGCUGAGACGCGAAAGCGUGGGGAGCGAACAGGAUUAGAAACCCGAGUAGUCC